This 536-nucleotide ribosomal RNA is filed under the name uncultured bacterium. Its description in RNAcentral is "partial 16S ribosomal RNA". It matches the Rfam family "Bacterial small subunit ribosomal RNA", at positions 355 to 901 of the family's 1533-position model. The record is from RNAcentral.
UGGGGAAUAUUGCACAAUGGGCGCAAGCCUGAUGCAGCAACGCCGCGUGAGGGACGACGGCCUUCGGGUUGUAAACCUCUUUUAGUAGGGAAGAAGCGAAAGUGACGGUACCUGCAGAAAAAGCACCGGCUAACUACGUGCCAGCAGCCGCGGUAAUACGUAGGGUGCGAGCGUUGUCCGGAAUUAUUGGGCGUAAAGAGCUCGUAGGCGGUCUGUCGCGUCUGCUGUGAAAACCCGAGGCUCAACCUCGGGCCUGCAGUGGGUACGGGCAGACUAGAGUGCGGUAGGGGAGAAUGGAAUUCCUGGUGUAGCGGUGGAAUGCGCAGAUAUCAGGAGGAACACCGAUGGCGAAGGCAGUUCUCUGGGCCGUAACUGACGCUGAGGAGCGAAAGCGUGGGGAGCGAACAGGAUUAGAUACCCUGGUAGUCCACGCCGUAAACGUUGGGCGCUAGAUGUGGGGACCAUUCCACGGUUUCCGUGUCGCAGCUAACGCAUUAAGCGCCCCGCCUGGGGAGUACGGCCGCAAGGCUAAAACU